Molecule: ribosomal RNA, 1827 nt
Filed under: Triticum aestivum (bread wheat)
Lineage: Eukaryota; Viridiplantae; Streptophyta; Magnoliopsida; Poales; Poaceae
Description: partial small subunit ribosomal RNA
Source: RNAcentral
AUGGCGCGCGGCGGUCAAGGACAAGGAGGAGGAGGGGUGGAGGAGAGGGAGGUGGUGAACGUGGUGGACCAGGACGGGAGGGAGGAGGAGGUGCGGCGGGCGCUGCCGAUGAUGCCCGUCAGGGUGCUGCUCGCCGAGGGCGACGACUCCACGCGCCACGUCAUCUCCGCGCUGCUCCGCAAGUGCGGCUACCACGUUUCUGCAGCUUCUGAUGGUGUCAAGGCCUGGGAAUUACUAAAGGAAAAAUCGUUCAAAAUAGAUCUUGUUCUCACUGAAGUUGAACUUCCUUUGAUGUCUGGGUUCCUCCUACUCUCCACGAUCAUGGAACAUGACGCAUGCAAGAAUAUUCCUGUCAUAAUGAUGUCUUCGAAUGAUGCAGUUAGCAUGGUUUUCAAAUGCAUGCUGAAGGGCGCAGCCGAUUUCCUUGUCAAGCCGAUACGAAAGAAUGAGUUACGGAACUUGUGGCAACACGUUUGGAGAAAACAACUUGCAAAUGGUGAGAUCGAUGUGCAACAGAUACAACAAGAAGAGAAUGCCCCAGAACAGCACGGGCAAAAGACUGAAGUGACAAAAGCUGAACAUUCAACUCAAAAUGUGGUCCGUAAAAAUAGAGAAUGCAGUGAACAAGAAAGUGACGCUCAAAGUUCUUGUACAAGAUCAGAACCAGAGGCUGAGAGCAAGCACGCCAACAGUUUCUUGGACUUUAAGCAGAUAACAGAAAGGCAAUCAUCUACUGACCCCAAAAACACUCUGGAAAAUAGAGACCCUGAGAACCCUAGUGAUAAUAAGCGCAAGAAAGCCUCGACAGAUAUCGAGGUAGUCCAUAUAGUUGAUGAUGAACCAAAGCCUAGCACACCGAUGGAGGUGGAUAUUGUGAGAACAAACUCUCAAGGAAACGGCGAUAAGUGGUUCUCCAUCCCUGCCCAUCAGUUGGAGCUUUCUCUCAGAAGAUCUGACUAUGGCAGAUCAGAGGACCAAGAGAAAAAUGAUACGAGAACCCUGAACCACUCAACUUCAUCUGCCUUUUCAUUGUACAACUGUAGGCCUAUAUCCUCUUUUGGUAACGCUGGUGAUGCUCAGCCAUGCAGCACCUCAGCAACACACGCAGAUCUGGCAAACAAAAAUGGAGAUUCGGCAGCUCCCUUUCAAGACAAGGCCGACCCAAUUUGCCAUCCUAUCAGAGUUGUAGCACUUCCUGUUCCAGUUGGAGGCCUCACAUUUGACGGGCAGCCAUUCUGGAGUGGUGCACCUGUGGCACCCCUUCUCUAUCCACAGUCAGGUCCUCCUAUCUGGAACGGCAGAACUCCAGUGUCGCAAGAGGCGGACACACAAGCAACUUCAUCGCAGCAGAAGUGUCAACAGAAUGAUCCGACUGAGAUGGACUCUCAGCAGACUGAAAGCACACAGCAGCAAGAAGUGCUACCUCCACCGACCGCAAAUGAAAAGCAUCUGCACGUUGAAAUCCCCUCAGACAGCAACCCUCAGCAGGUUUCACCCAUGGCCGGCGAUAGUGGAAGCGGAAGUAGUACUGUGCUGAACAACUCUGGCAAUGCUCUCAGUGGCAGUGCCUGCGGAAGCUCUUCCAACCGGAUCGCCACCCCUACUGAGCAGUGUAACGCAUCCGACGGUGCUACCGAAAAUCCAAGCAUGGAGGGCUCGCAUCAGCUGAGCCAACGUGAGAUUGCACUGAACAAGUUUCGGCUCAAGAGGAAAGAAAGGUGCUUCGAGAAGAAGGUGCGGUACCAGAGCAGGAAACUACUUGCGGAGCAGCGUCCACGGGUGAAGGGUCAGUUUGUUCGGCAAGAGCAGAACAUCCAAGCAAGGUAG